This 387-nucleotide ribosomal RNA is filed under the name Shinella sp. Its description in RNAcentral is "bacterial SSU rRNA". It matches the Rfam family "Bacterial small subunit ribosomal RNA", at positions 21 to 438 of the family's 1533-position model. The record is from RNAcentral. Lineage: Bacteria; Pseudomonadati; Pseudomonadota; Alphaproteobacteria; Hyphomicrobiales; Rhizobiaceae.
GGCUCAGAACGAACGCUGGCGGCAGGCUUAACACAUGCAAGUCGAACGCUCCGCAAGGAGAGUGGCAGACGGGUGAGUAACGCGUGGGAAUCUACCCAUCUCUACGGAAUAACGCAGGGAAACUUGUGCUAAUACCGUAUACGCCCUUCGGGGGAAAGAUUUAUCGGAGAUGGAUGAGCCCGCGUUGGAUUAGCUAGUUGGUGGGGUAAAGGCCUACCAAGGCGACGAUCCAUAGCUGGUCUGAGAGGAUGAUCAGCCACAUUGGGACUGAGACACGGCCCAAACUCCUACGGGAGGCAGCAGUGGGGAAUAUUGGACAAUGGGCGCAAGCCUGAUCCAGCCAUGCCGCGUGAGUGAUGAAGGCCCUAGGGUUGUAAAGCUCUUUCA